RNAcentral lists this ribosomal RNA (253 nucleotides) under uncultured bacterium. RNAcentral describes it as "partial 16S ribosomal RNA". It matches the Rfam family "Bacterial small subunit ribosomal RNA", at positions 524 to 776 of the family's 1533-position model. The record is from RNAcentral.
UACGGGGGGGGUAAGCGUUGUUCGGAAUUACUGGGCGUAAAGGGCUCGUAGGCGGCCAACUAAGUCAGACGUGAAAUCCCUCGGCUUAACCGGGGAACGGCCUCUGAUACUGGCUGGCUGGAGUUCGGGAGAGGGAUGCGGAAUUCCAGGUGUAGCGGUGAAAUGCGUAGAUAUCUGGAGGAACACCGGUGGCGAAGGCGGCAUCCUGGACCGACACUGACGCUGAGGAGCGAAAGCCAGGGGAGCAAACGGG